CGACGUGAGGAACCUGCCUUGAGGAGGGGGACAACAGUUGGAAACGACUGCUAAUACCGCAUGACGCAUAGAGGUCGCAUGAUCUUUAUGCCAAAGAUUUAUCGCUUCAAGAUGGCCUCGCGUCUGAUUAGCUAGUUGGCGGGGUAACGGCCCACCAAGGCGACGAUCAGUAGCCGGACUGAGAGGUUGAACGGCCACAUUGGGACUGAGAUACGGCCCAG
RNAcentral lists this ribosomal RNA (221 nucleotides) under uncultured bacterium. RNAcentral's name for it is "partial 16S ribosomal RNA". It matches the Rfam family "Bacterial small subunit ribosomal RNA", at positions 113 to 334 of the family's 1533-position model. The record is from RNAcentral.